This 528-nucleotide ribosomal RNA is filed under the name uncultured bacterium. RNAcentral's name for it is "bacterial SSU rRNA". It matches the Rfam family "Bacterial small subunit ribosomal RNA", at positions 777 to 1304 of the family's 1533-position model. The record is from RNAcentral.
AAUAGAUACCCCGGUAGUCCACGCCGUAAACGAUGAGUGCUAGGUGCCGGAGGGGUCCACCCUGCGGUGCCGAAGUUAACACAUUAAGCACUCCGCCUGGGGAGUACGGUCGCAAGACUGAAACUCAAAGGAAUUGACGGGGACCCGCACAAGCAGUGGAGUAUGUGGUUUAAUUCGAAGCAACGCGAAGAACCUUACCAGGUCUUGACAUCCCUCUGACCGGUCUAGAGAUAGGCCUUUCCUUCGGGACAGAGGAGACAGGUGGUGCAUGGUUGUCGUCAGCUCGUGUCGUGAGAUGUUGGGUUAAGUCCCGCAACGAGCGCAACCCUUGAUUCUAGUUGCCAGCACCUCGGGUGGGCACUCUAGAGUGACUGCCGGUGACAAACCGGAGGAAGGCGGGGAUGACGUCAAAUCAUCAUGCCCCUUAUGACCUGGGCUACACACGUACUACAAUGGCCGGUACAACGGGCUGCGAAGGAGCGAUCUGGAGCCAAUCCUAUCAAAGCCGGUCUCAGUUCGGAUUGCAGG